Molecule: ribosomal RNA, 897 nt
Filed under: uncultured bacterium
Lineage: Bacteria
Description: bacterial SSU rRNA
Rfam family: Bacterial small subunit ribosomal RNA
Source: RNAcentral
AACGAACGCUGGCGGCGUGCUUAACACAUGCAAGUCGAGCGAGAAAGGGGGGGCAACCCCCUGAGUAGAGCGGCGCACGGGUGAGUAACGCGUGGGUAACCUACCCCCAGGCGGGGGAUAACUACUCGAAAGGGUGGCUAAUACCGCAUGAGACCACGGGAUCUUCGGAUCCUGAGGCUAAAGAUCGCACCGGCUUGCCGGUGCUGUCACCAGGGGAUGGGCCCGCGUCCGAUUAGCUAGUUGGUGAGGUAAUGGCUCACCAAGGCUCCGAUCGGUAGCUGGUCUGAGAGGAUGAUCAGCCACACUGGAACUGAAACACGGUCCAGACUCCUACGGGAGGCAGCAGUGAGGAAUAUUGCGCAAUGGGGGAAACCCUGACGCAGCAACGCCGCGUGGGUGAAGAAGGCCUUCGGGUCGUAAAGCCCUUUCGGACGGGACGAACGCUCCGCGGUGACAAGCCGCGGAGUCUGACGGUACCGUAGGAAGAAGCACCGGCUAACUCCGUGCCAGCAGCCGCGGUAAUGCGGAGGGUGCGAGCGUUGUUCGGAAUUACUGGGCGUAAAGCGCGUGUAGGCGGCCUUGCAAGUCAGGCGUGAAAGCCCUCGGCUUAACCGGGGAAGUGCGUCUGAAACUGCUUGGCUUGAGUACGGGAGAGGGAGGCGGAAUUCCCAGUGUAGAGGUGAAAUUCGUAGAUAUUGGGAGGAACACCGGUGGCGAAAGCGGCCUCCUGGACCGAUACUGACGCUGAGACGCGAAAGCGUGGGGAGCAAACAGGAUUAGAUACCCUGGUAGUCCACGCGGUAAACGAUGGGCACUAGGUGUGGGGGGUAUCCACUCCUCCCGUGCCGAAGCUAACGCAUUAAGUGCCCCGCCUGGGGAGUACGGCCGGCAGGUUAA